RNAcentral lists this ribosomal RNA (103 nucleotides) under Oryctolagus cuniculus (rabbit). Lineage: Eukaryota; Metazoa; Chordata; Mammalia; Lagomorpha; Leporidae. The record is from RNAcentral.
GCCUAUGGCCGUACCACCCUGAACACGCAUGAUCUCAUCUACCUCAGCAGCUAAGCAGGGUCGGGCCUGGUUAGUACUUGAAUGGAAUCAGAAGCCAUAAUAA